UUCUCCAAAUCAGCAUUGAAUUUUCAGAUUUAGAUUCAGCCAAAUUGAAUCAGGGACAGUGAUCCGAAUCAACUAAUGGAAUCAUUGUCCCUGAUUUGGGCCGAAUCCGAAUCAAAUAUGGCCCGCUUCGCAUAACUCUAAUAAUUAGUUGUGUGUAGAGAUCUGAUUCCCUCUUCUCUGUCCUUAGCUUUUUCUCUUGAAUUCUGCAAUAGUCAGCUGAGCAAAUAGGAAUGGGAGGUGCAGACUAGGGUAUAUGGCUACAAAAUUCUAUUAAAGUCUGCAGAAAAUAUGAGUGUGAAUGCACUGUGUGUUGAAACAUUGCUUGAUGUCUCUAGAAGUCAGAUAUUGACUGCCAAGUAGCUCCUUUGAAAGGGCUGAGAGCAUCCUCCAUUUUUAUUUGUCACAGGUUUCAGGUCCUACAAAGUGUAUAAGAAGGUACCCUGUACCCAGAAGCCUGAAGUGUAAGCACCUGAGUCAGUGAGGUGGCAGGUGCUCCUCAAGAUGUGUGAUGAUGGUUUCACAUUGGAAUGGUCAUACCUUGAUAUCCCCUUAUUUUCAGGAAGACUCCUCAGAUGAUAAGAGAGUGCAUGGGAAUAUGAAUUGACAUGAGUGAUCAUAAAACAAGUAACUGUGAGAGGAAAAUUUUGGAAAUUUUUGUUUUAACAGACUUUGGGCCAGAUUUUCUUCUUUAUAUUUGAAUGCAAAGUCCUAUUUAAGAAGGGACUGAGAAGUCUUCAUGUGCUGAUCUCCCUACCACAGACCAUGUGGAAACAUGACCACAAAGUCCAGGAUAUUGAUACCGUCUCCCACAGCAUUCUCACAGGCAAGUCAUAAAGGUAUCAAUAUUCAUGGGAGUGCACUACGUAUCCACAUGCACCACUGGUGGACUGAAGCAGUCAUGGAACCUCGAUCUAGAUCAGAGAUGUUAACGGUCCAGCCUGUGGGCCAGAUCCAGCCUGUGGAGCCUUAUGGUGUGAUCCGUGAGUCUCAGAUCAACCUGGUGUGCUGCAUGUGGUGCAUGCCAAUCCCAGCCCCAUGUGCUGCACAGUUGUUACUGCACAGUCAUUUAGUACUUGCAUAACCAAGUACUACAUGACUGCACAGUAACUGAUGUUACUGCACAGUAGCAUCUCUGCAUGGCUUCCAGGUGACGCUGACUGCGCAGUAGCUUGUUACUACUACACAGUAGUGUUGCAUCACAGUUCAUGCCCCAUGACGCUGCUGCGCAGUACUAAUGGGUACUACUAGUAAUUAGCUACUGUGCAGUAAGUGUUUCAUGUAGAUGCGACCAUUGACUAUUUAAUGUGGCAGAGACACAGUGGAAAAGAGGCAAAAUAAAGCAGAGGUAUUCAUUCUAAAGGGGAAUACCUGGUAGCAUGGAAUUCACUUUGUAUAGGGUUUAUUCUGACAUGGGUAGAAUGGAGAAUGGGCUGCAUAUAUUCAGUGUAUUCAGGUAUAAAAAUCUGAUGUAAAGUAUCAGAUAAGUGCACACAAAGGUCUUCAUCAAAAACAUGUAGGUGUUAGGUAACCUUGAAUCAACACAUCCAGGCAUGCUAUGUUAAAACACAAAAUAGCCAUUGCAGUUAAAAAAUGGAUAGUACUAAAACUGAUGGCUGUUUCUUUUCAUAUGAAGAGUUUAAUAACAGUACUAUAAAUAACUAAGGAUUUUUAGCUGUGUUAAGAUCUUGUCUAGUUUGAGAAACAAGAACUCCAAGAGAAUCAUAUUUUUUAUAUUACAGUAAAAAUGGUGUGGGUAGCGCUGCAGGCAUUUGUGUUGAAUUACAGGGCUUUUAAGUGCAUGAUAUAAUAAGAAGUAAAAAUGAUCCCAGACCUAACAACACUAGCUAGACUCAGCUUCUGAGUAUAACCAGUUAAUAUCUUAGGCGAGUUGCAAAUGAGUUGCAUUUAAAAUACAAUGACUCACUUGUCAUUCGAAUGAAAGGAUCCUAGCUUUCUGACAGAACACAUUCAGCAAGACAUUGUGACAUACUGUACCAAAGAGAUGAUUUAAGUCAUGGUACUGAUAAAGUGGUGAAUUCUGUGAGAGGCCUAGAUUUCUUAGGGUGAUAUCUUUUAUUGGACCAACUGUAUAGUGGAAUAGAGUUAGACAAGCUUUAAAAUGCAAGAGUUCUUCAGAAGAAUGUCUUGCAUUCAAAAGCUUGUCUAACUCGAUCACAAUCUAGUCAGGUCUGUUCAGAUGCCUGAUGAAUCCACUUGUACGGAGUCCUGCAACCAGCACAUCAAGACCUUCAACACAUACACUUAGGCAAGAGUAUGGAGGAGUAGAGCCUGUCCAAGACCUGCCAUCCUCCUUUAGACCAUUGAGACAAAAUCCAAAGGCCAGACUGAGUUCAGGCAUUCAGUGCCUCAAUAUUUGUAGCUUCUGCCAGAGAGCAACAGAUAACAACUGCUGCUGACUACCUAACAUUUCAGUAAGGAUGCAUUUCAGUCAGGGUGAUGUCCCUUAGCCUUUCUCCAACCAAAGAGUAUCCACAAAACAGUGGAGGCUAGGAUUUUGAGGUGCCCUGUGCUCACUUUAUUCUGAAGGUUGCAACAUUGUGGUAUUUUAUAGGAGCUACCCCACAAAAAAUAGCCCCACCACAUUGCUGCCAGGCCACUCAGUCAGGUGAAGUUUAUGGUCAUACCCAGGACCAAUGUAAACACAAUUUAAAUGCUGAAAAGUAAAAUAUUACAUUGUUACUGUGUAAAGUGCCUUAGUGGAAUCCUGGAGACUACUACAGCCCAUUUUCCAUGAUUGUCAAUUUGAAUAUUAAAACAAAGUUGAAUCAGU
This is a long non-coding RNA of Alligator mississippiensis (American alligator), 2791 nucleotides long. RefSeq lists it as uncharacterized. Lineage: Eukaryota; Metazoa; Chordata; Crocodylia; Alligatoridae. The transcript is spliced from 2 exons. The record is from RefSeq and is a predicted model, not a curated record.